AAGUCGUAACAAGGUCUCCGUUGGUGAACCAGCGGAGGGAUCAUUACUGAGUUCUACAAAAACUCCCAACCCUUUGUGAACCUUACCAUCGUUGCCUCGGCGCCGAGCAGCGGCUACCCGGGAGAAGCUACCCUGUAACUGCGAGAGCAGCUACCCUGUAGCAACCCUGUAGUCGCACUCUACGCUCCGCCGGAGGACCACGCAAACUCUUUUGUAUCAUGGUGUAUCUCUGAAUACGUAACUAAAUAAGUUAAAACUUUCAACAACGGAUCUCUUGGUUCUG
Molecule: unclassified non-coding RNA, 283 nt
Filed under: Hypoxylon cercidicola
Lineage: Eukaryota; Fungi; Ascomycota; Sordariomycetes; Xylariales; Hypoxylaceae
Description: partial internal transcribed spacer region
Rfam family: Eukaryotic small subunit ribosomal RNA (bases 1-46)
Source: RNAcentral